CAGGGUAACCUCUUGCAAGACUCUGGGAAUCCACUUGUUUGCCACUGGGAGAGUGAUUGACUGACAGCACAGCAGGGAGCUGGAGGAUCUUUAGCAGUGAAGGCUGCAAACGGACCUCUGGGAGAGGAGGCGAUAUCUGGACCACGGGAAUCACACAGGAAUGCACGGAGAGAGCACAGAACUAGGGCAUAGAGUAGAUACAACAAAGCACUGGCCCAGAGUAGCAUAAUCCCAGCCUACUUAAAGGCAGCACAAGCACGGGAUUGGCUAACACUUACCCACAGGUGUUUUCACAAGUGCUCUGUAUUGCUUAUUUGGUCUCCAACAUGGCCGCCUCCUAUACUGCAGACACACAGCGGUGCCUUUGGCCAUUUGGUCCCCGCACUCCCAGCUCCUAGAUCCUGCAUCACCUGUGCCACUGAUCACGCCGUGUCCCCACACGGCCGCACAGAACCGCGAGCAACCGCACCGGCAACGGAUGAACCCCAGAACCCGCAGAGCUGCAUUUUUCUAGGUUACAGAGCUGAUAAUCAUUGCAAGUGAAGCUGCUGCCUCCAAAAAGAAAAUAGACGCCCACUGGAGUCAUCCCAAAAUCCUCUACAGAUGCAUACUCAUACACAGCACUGACGAAGAACAUCGACUCCUAGGGUUGACCUAUGGAGAUGAUGGUGUUUUCCAGUGCAUGAACUGGCGUUUUGUUUCAGGAUCAUACUAGAAGAUCCACGUUCCAUCACAGGCGCUGACAGCAAAGACUGAGAGCGCCAAUCAGCUGGGCAUAUAAAGGCACCAUCUAUAUUAUACCCACUAAUGCAUGUGAUGUCUGGAAAUCCCUUAAUUGUUUUAUAACUGGGGAAUAUUUUUUA
This is a long non-coding RNA of Pseudophryne corroboree (corroboree frog), 863 nucleotides long. RefSeq lists it as uncharacterized. Lineage: Eukaryota; Metazoa; Chordata; Amphibia; Anura; Myobatrachidae. The record is from RefSeq and is a predicted model, not a curated record. The transcript is spliced from 4 exons.